GGAUAUAAUGGUAGUAAAACGUGAUGAAAAGCUUCUGCACUGUUUUUGAAGUCUGAAGUGCAGAAAGACAUCACCAUCAGGUUUCUGGACACUUGGUCUCUCGUAAACAGAUCAAGAUGCAGUCCAUCAAAACACCUCUUCAGCUCUUGAACAGUAGCCCUAUCCUCAUAUACUUGAUCCUCAACUUGCUUGAUAAAGCGAUACUUUAAAUCAUAAGAACCUACAGAAGGCCUCUAUGGCUGCCACCUCAGCUUUUCUUAGGAUAUAAUGGUAGUAAAACGUGAUGAA
Molecule: long non-coding RNA, 288 nt
Filed under: Helianthus annuus (common sunflower)
Lineage: Eukaryota; Viridiplantae; Streptophyta; Magnoliopsida; Asterales; Asteraceae
Description: hypothetical non coding rna
Source: RNAcentral